RNAcentral lists this ribosomal RNA (497 nucleotides) under uncultured bacterium. Its description in RNAcentral is "partial 16S ribosomal RNA". It matches the Rfam family "Bacterial small subunit ribosomal RNA", at positions 28 to 507 of the family's 1533-position model. The record is from RNAcentral.
GAUGAACGCUGGCGGCGUGCCUAAUACAUGCAAGUCGAGCGAACGGACGAGAAGCUUGCUUCUCUGAUGUUAGCGGCGGACGGGUGAUUAACACGUGGAUAACCUACCUAUAAGACUGGGAUAACUUCGGGAAACCGGAGCUAAUACCGGAUGAUAUUUUGAACCGCAUGGUUCAAAAGUGAAAGACGGUCUUGCUGUCACUUAUAGAUGGAUCCGCGCUGCAUUAGCUAGUUGGUAAGGUAACGGCUUACCAAGGCAACGAUGCAUAGCCGACCUGAGAGGGUGAUCGGCCACACUGGAACUGAGACACGGUCCAGACUCCUACGGGAGGCAGCAGUAGGGAAUCCUCCGCAAUGGGCGAAAGCCUGAAGGAGCAACGCCGCGUGAGUGAUGAAGGUAUUAGGAUCGUAAAACUCUGUUAUUAGGGAAGAACAUAUGUGUAAGUAACUGUGCACAUCUUGACGGUACCUAAUAAGAAAGCCACGGCUAACUACGUG